AACGAACGCUGGCGGCAGGCUUAACACAUGCAAGUCGAACGCAUCCUUCGGGGUGAGUGGCAGACGGGUGAGUAACGCGUGGGAACGUGCCCUUCAGUUCGGGAUAACCCAGGGAAACUUGGGCUAAUACCGGAUACGUGCGAGAGCAGAAAGAUUUAUCGGUGAAGGGUCGGCCCGCGUCCGAUUAGCUAGUUGGUGGGGUAAUGGCCCACCAAGGCGACGAUCAGUAGCUGGUCUGAGAGGAUGACCAGCCACAUUGGGACUGAGACACGGCCCAAACUCCUACGGGAGGCAGCAGUUGGGAAUAUUGGACAACGGGCGCAAGCCUGAUCCAGCCAUGCCGCGUGAGUGAUGAAGGCCUUAGGGUUGUAAAGCUCUUUCGUCCGGGACGAUAAUGACGGUACCGGAAGAAGAAGCCCCGGCUAACUACGUGCCAGCCGCCGCAGUAA
RNAcentral lists this ribosomal RNA (449 nucleotides) under uncultured bacterium. RNAcentral's name for it is "partial 16S ribosomal RNA". It matches the Rfam family "Bacterial small subunit ribosomal RNA", at positions 29 to 523 of the family's 1533-position model. The record is from RNAcentral.